UAUUGGACAAUGGUCGAAAGCCUGAUCCAGCCAUGCCGCGUGUGUGCAGAAGGUCUUCGGCUUGUAAAGCACUUUAAGUUGGGAGGAAGGGCAGUAAGUUAAUACCUUGCUGUUUUGACGUUACCGACAGAAUAAGCACCGGCUAACGUCGUGCAAGCAUCCUCGGUAAUACGAAGGGUGCAAGCGUUAAUCGGAAUUUCUGGGACUAAAGCGCGCGUAGGUGGUUUGUUAAGUUGGAAGUGAAAGCCCCGGGCUCAACCUGGGAACUGCUUUCAAAACUGACGAGCUAAAGUACGGUAGAGGGUAGUGGAAUUUCCUGUGUAGCGGUGAAAUGCGUAGAUAUAGGAAGGAACAUCAGUGGCGAAGGCGACUACCUGGACUGAUACUGACACUGAGGUGCGAAAGCGUGGGGAGCAAACAGG
This 422-nucleotide ribosomal RNA is filed under the name uncultured bacterium. RNAcentral describes it as "partial 16S ribosomal RNA". It matches the Rfam family "Bacterial small subunit ribosomal RNA", at positions 362 to 776 of the family's 1533-position model. The record is from RNAcentral.